Molecule: transfer RNA, 72 nt
Filed under: Prevotella sp. KH2C16
Lineage: Bacteria; Pseudomonadati; Bacteroidota; Bacteroidia; Bacteroidales; Prevotellaceae
Rfam family: tRNA
About the family: Transfer RNA (tRNA) molecules are approximately 80 nucleotides in length. Their secondary structure includes four short double-helical elements and three loops (D, anti-codon, and T loops).
Source: Rfam by way of RNAcentral
CGCAGGUUGGAGAAGCGGUAUCUCAUUACGCUCAUAACGUAAAGAACGGUGGUUCGAUUCCACCACCUGCAA